Mytilus trossulus (common blue mussel) is the source of this 204-nucleotide long non-coding RNA. RefSeq lists it as uncharacterized. The transcript has 3 exons. NCBI's taxonomy places the organism in Eukaryota, Metazoa, Mollusca, Bivalvia, Mytilida, Mytilidae. The record is from RefSeq and is a predicted model, not a curated record.
GGACAACGAGACCUAGACCAACAACACAUAUCAUUACAGCGACACCGCAACCAUGUAACAUAACCUGUGUUGGCGAAUGUCUUGACCAGUGCGGUAGCCUAGCUGAAGAUCCCGCAGGAGGGUGCUGUGGAUUGAAAUGUUGUGGAGGUUUCUAAAGUCUCUGUCCGAAACCAUGAUGCUUGUAGAGGAAAAAAACAUGUGAAA